AGACUUCGAUCCUAGCUCAGGAUGAACACUGGUGCAUGCUUAACACAUGUAAGUCGGAUAGAAAGUGGUGUUUCCGAUGGCGGAUGGGUAAGUAACGCGUAAGAACAUGCCCUUGGGACGGGAAAAAUACUGGAAACAGCUGCUAAUACCCCCUAGGCUGAGGAGCAAUCAGCCAAAGGAGGAAUCUGCUCAAGGAGGGGCUCACAUCUGAUUACCUAGUUGGUGAGUAAUAGAUUACCAACGCAACGAUCUGUAGCUGGCCUGAGAGGAUGAUCAGCCACACUGGGACUGAGACACAGCCCAAAAUCCUACAUGGGGUAGCAGUGAGGAAUUUUUCGCAAUGGGCAAAAGCCUAACGGAGCAGUGCCACGUUGAGGCAGAAGGCCCACGGUUCGUGAACUUUUUUUCCCAGAGAAGAAGCAACGACGGUAUCUGGGCAAUAAGAAUUGGCUAACUCUAUGCCAACAGUCGUGGUAGGACAGAGGAUGCAAGCGUUGUCCAGAAUGAUUGGGCAUAAAGUGUCUGUAGGUGGAUUUUUAAGUCCCUUGUCAAAUCCUAGGGAUCAACCCUGAACAGGCAGUGCAAGAUAACAAGCAGGAGUGCGGUAGGGGCAUGAGGAAUUUCCGGUGGAGUAGUUAAAUGCGUAGAGAUCGAAGAGAAUACCAAUGGCAAAAGCACUCUGCUGGACCAAUACUGACACUUAAAGAUGAAAACUAAGGGAGCGAAUGGGAUUAGGUACCCCAGUAGUCCUGGCCGUAAACGAUGGAUACUAGACGCUGUGUGUAUCGAACCGUGCAGUGUUGUAGCUAACAUGUUAAGUAUCCUGCCCGGGGAGUAUGUUCGCAAGAAUGAAACUCAAAGGAAAUGACGGGGGCCCGUAGAAGCGGUACAGCAUGUGGUUUAAUGCGAUGUUAAGUGAAUAACCUUCCUAGGGCUUGAUAUACCACAAAUCCUCUUAAAAGACAGGGUUGCCUUCGGGAACGCAGACACAGGUGGUGCAUGGUUCUCGUCAAUUCAUGCCGUAAGGUGAUAGGUUAAGUCUCGCAACGAGGGUAACCCUUGUGUUUAGUCGCUAGCGUUGAGUUUGGAACCCUUAUGCCCUGAGCGACACACGUGCUACAAUGGCCGGGACAAAAGGUCACGAUCCCACGAGGGUUAGCUAAACCCAAAAACCCAUGCUCAGUUCGAAUUACAAGCUACAACUCACCUGUACGAAGCAGAAAUCGCUAGUAAUCGCCGGUCAGCCAUACAGUGGUGAAUUCAUUCCCAUGCCUUAUACACACCGCUCGUCACACUAGGGAAGUUAGCGAUGUUCGAAGUUCAUACCUUAAUCGCAGCAAGAAGGGGGAUACCAAAUGUAGGGUUAGUGAUUGGAGUGAAGUCGUAACAAGGUAGCCGUACUGGAAGGUACAAUUA
This 1416-nucleotide ribosomal RNA is filed under the name Lophocereus schottii. Its description in RNAcentral is "bacterial SSU rRNA". It matches the Rfam family "Bacterial small subunit ribosomal RNA". Lineage: Eukaryota; Viridiplantae; Streptophyta; Magnoliopsida; Caryophyllales; Cactaceae. The record is from RNAcentral.